CUACUCCAUUUUCAGAGUUCUGUUUUUGUUGAAUUGGGUAUCAAAUGGGUCGUUCAACUUGGAAGUAUCAAGUCUUCUUUUUGUUCUCCUUGAUCUUGCACUCUCAAGUUCCCUUUCCAUCAUCUCUCUCUUUUUCCUUGUCUUCAAUGCCACCAUGCUCUGCUCUACUCCAUUUUAGUAAAUCUUUUUCUCUUGACCAACAUGCUUCUGACGCACAAACUUCUUAUCCAAAAACAGCCAGUUGGCGUGAGGAUAAGCACUGUUGCAGUUGGGAUGGGGUCGAGUGUGACAAAAACACAAGCCAUGUGGUUGGCCUGGACCUUAGUUCCAGCUGGCUUAUGGGCCACAUUCAUUCCAACAGUACCCUGUUUUUUCUUCCCAAUCUCAGAAGGUUGAACCUCGCUGACAAUUGGUUCAAUCUCUCCCUAAUUCCUUCUGAGUUUGGCAACUUUAAGAGUUUGACUCAUCUUAACCUUUCUCUUUCCGUAUUUGCUGGCCAAAUCCCGUUUGAAAUCUCUCAGUUGUCUUCACUGGUUUCACUUGAUCUUUCUGAGAAUGAGCUAUUAAUCGAAGCUCCAGUAUGGAAAAGAGUCAUUGGUAACCUAACUCAGUUAAGGGAACUUAUUCUGGAUUUCACAAAUAUGUCCUCAAUAAGACCUAAUUCUUCGAUGAAUUUAUCCUCCUCUUUGACAACUCUUAGUCUCCGUUACUGUGACUUGCGGGGAAAACUCGAAAGUAACAUCCUCUGCCUUCCCAACAUACAAACCUUUGAUUUGUCACAUAAUAGUUUUAGCGGUCUAUUGCCGUCAUCACUAUUUAACUUGCCGAAUCUCUCAACUUUAGGCCUUGGGAACAAUCAACUUGUUGGUCCCCUUCCUAGUCACGUAAGUGGUUUGAAUCUAAGAGUUCUCUUUUUAAGUUCAAAUUUCCUAAAUGGAACAUUGCCAACUUGGUUAUUCAGUUUGCCAUCUUUGGAGGUUUUAUAUCUUGGUGAAAAUCAAUUCGUUGGUGAGAUUGGUGAAUUCAAGUACAAUUCAUUGAUGUAUCUUAAUUUGGGUUAUAAUAAGCUACAUGGCUCUAUACUUAGGUUAGUAUCUAGACUUGUGAAUCUUACUGAGCUAUAUCUCUCAUCAAAUAACUUGAGUAUUAUGUUGGGGUCUGAAAUGUUUUCAAAGCUCAAAAAUCUUGAGACUCUUGAUUUGUCAAAUAACUCAGUUAGCAUCAAUAAUAAUGCUGCCCAUGCCCUGCCCAAUCUUCAAUAUUUGUACUUGGCUUACUCCAAUAUUAGUGAAUUCCCAAUUUUCUUAAGACUGACAACAAAUUUACAAUUAUUAGACCUUUCCAAUAACCAAAUUUAUGGUCGAGUUCCAAGAUGGUUGGGGGAUGUGGGGAAUAAUUCAUUAUUUUAUGUUGAUCUUCGUAACAACUUGCUACAAGGACCAUUUCCCAUUCUAAAUUCUUCCAAUCUGCAACUUAUCUUUUUCUCCAAUAACAAUUUAAUGGGAGAAAUCCCUUCUUUAAUUUGCGAUGCAAUUUACCUUCAAGUUUUAGACUUGUCUCAUAACAACUUAAGUGGCACGAUUCCUAAAUGUUUGGUAAACUCUACUACCCUCUCAGUGUUGGAUUUGCGAAUGAAUAGCAUUCAUGGUAACAUCCCUGCAAUAUUUGCCAAAGGAAAUAAUUUUAGGCAUAUUAACCUUAAUGGCAAUCAAUUGGAAGGGCCAUUGCCUCAAUCUUUGGUCAAUUGUAUAGACUUGGAAGUUCUAGAUCUUGGAAACAAUAAAAUAAAUGGAGCCUUCCCUUAUUGGUUGGGAGGUCUUCAGAAAUUGCAAGUUCUUGUCAUAAGAUCAAACAGAUUUCAAGGUCGUAUAGGCAAUCCUAAAACCAAAUUUCUUUUCCCAAAUUUGCAAAUCAUAGACAUCUCUAACAAUCAGUUUAAUGGUCCUUUGCCAAUAACAUAUUUUGAAUAUUUGAAAGCCAUGAUGAAUGUGGAUGAAAGUGGAGUUGCAUCGAAAUAUAUGGGAGAAAAUUAUUAUCAAGAUUCAUUGAAUAUCAUGGUGAAAGGGCAGUAUAUUGCGAUGGAGAGAGUCCUAACCAUCUUAACAAGCAUUGAUUUUUCAAACAAUAGUUUCAGAGGAGAGAUGCCAAAGAUAAUUGGAAGGCUUAAAUCACUCAAGGGGCUUAACUUUUCUCACAAUAACCUUAUAGGUCAUAUUCCACCAUCAAUUGGAAAUUUGACCAAUCUUGAAUGGUUAGACCUCUCUUUCAACAAGCUCAAUGGGGAGAUUCCUAGUCAAUUGGCAAAUCUAACGUCACUUGAAGUCUUAAAGCUAUCACAUAACCAACUCACAGGACACAUACCUUUAGGAAAUCAAUUCAAUACAUUCAACAAUGAUUCGUACACCGAAAACUUGGGAUUGUGUGGGUUUCCAUUGUCAAGAACAUGCGACAACCACGAGGCAAAGCAACCACCACCACCUACCUUGCAACAAGAUGAAAAUUUAGGGCAUGAAAAUGGGUUUUGUUGGCAAGCUAUAUCCAUAGGAUACGCAUGUGGAGCAAUAUUCGGAAUGUUUAUGGGAUAUCUUAUGUUCAAAAUUGGAAAACCAAAGUGCCUUGUGAGGAUGGUCAAAUUAGAGAAGCAUAUCAUGCCCAGAAGAUUGAAGAAGAAUGCCCACAAGCGUGGUGGAAGAAGAUAACUGCUUCUAUGUUAAUUGUGAUAGUUGGUGUUGGAGGCCCAAAAUUUCCUCCAUCUUGGAUGGGAGGAACAUAUUACUACCACAUCUUGAAGCAGAGUUUGGGUGCAGAUUCACACUACCUUCUAGGAAGAUUUCAUGUUAAAUAAGAAGUGAAAAGAAAAUUGUACUUGAGUCAAGCCUGUGUACUGGGGAAGCAAUUUUCUUGAUUUUAAAUGAAAAUGUUUAUUCCUCCAAAAAAAAGGGGGGGGGGGGAUUAUCUGUUCUCAUAGAAGCUAAAUGGCUGGUAGUAAAUGGGAACUCAAUUCAUAUUAACCAUGACUUUUGGCUUAUUGUAAUAACUGAUGUUCUUUUCUCUUUCUAUGAUUCAAAAGAUGAAUCCUUCUUGUCCUUUAUUAGAAUAAGCUCCAUCCUUUAGGUUUUUUUUUUUUUUUUUUAAUCUUUUUAUUUUAUUUUAUUUUAUAAUUGUGUUAAAUAGAUAUCUAUAGUUUUUAUUAUUAGGUACAAUGUCCAAUUUCCACUAAAAAGACAAAGUAACAUUUGAUUUUUUUUACUUUAAGUUUCAUUCUAAAUACAGACUAUCAGCUCUGUGCCGGUGUGGCAUGUGUAUCUAGUAUGAAAAAAAAUACCUAUCAUGUAUUCUCACCUCCUUGCAUAUAACACACCUCAUGCUCUUUUAAUUUAGUUCCAAUAUAAUUUUGAAAGGAGUUCGUGCCCUUAACAUGCAAGGAAUUGCAAUGUCUUAGAUCUUCACUGCUAUGUCUUAGCCUGCUCAAAUUUAUUGAUAACUUUAUGCAUUAUCUGACAUAUGAGGUUGCUAUUUCCUAUCCUCUAGCAAAAUUUGUUUUCCACUCUUUAUGAAGAUAUUUCCAUAUUGCUAAGGCUUUUUAAUGGGACCCUUUGUCUCAUAGAAUGAUUUCUUUUCUACAUAUAUUGUUGUUUAUCAACAAAGCUCAAGGGCUACUCUAGUUUUCUUUUAAAAGAAAGUAGGGGAAAGAUGUUGGAUGGAGAGAUCUAAUUGAAAAGUUGAGAACAAUGAACAAGAAAAAUGUGAGAAAACUCCUAAUCAACAUGUUGAGCCCAAGAAAACUUGUGAAGAUUCAACUCAAUGGGUUUUCUUUCUAUGAGUUCUCUUUGGGGUUUAUUCUUAGUAGCUAGUUUUUUCAAAUGUAGUAAUUGAUGUGCCUACAGUAUGCCACAACAGCUCAAUUUUUUAUAUCGUCUUCCAUUGACAUUCUUAAACUAGAUGAAUCUUUGGUUGGUUUAAUUGGGAACUCAAGAAGUCCAUCAAGGGUACUUAAUUAGCUCCAGAAUUCUACAGUCUUGAUUCCAUUCUAUAAGUGACACAUACACCUCUCUCUCUCUCUCUCUAUUUGUGUCUCUCUUUAAUCUUUCGCACUUUUUGCAUCAAAUUCAAGAGAUAAUUCAAUGCUAAGCUUUAGAGCUAGGAGGCAAGGUUGAGUAGAGUUGCAAAAGAGAGCCAUACUUGAUUCAUCUUUGCACAGUGAGGUUGGAAAAGACAAAUAAUUGAGUUUUUUUCUAAUGAACAAUAAAUGAAUAUGUUCAUGUAAAAUAAGAUUGGAGGACAAAGAUUUGUCUGAAUUAUAUUUUUUGUGUAUAGAACUUUUACAUUGGUCUGAAUAUAUACAUGUUGUUACAAUGAACCUAGACAAAAAUAUUGACAGCCUAAUCCCAUAAUUGCAGCUAGACAGAAUAGUAACAGCUACCAAAUCCCAUAAUUAUAGCUGAUUGGAAACCCCUUAAUUGUGCUGGUUGGGAAUCCCUUAAUUGUCUCUAAUACUCCCCCUCAAGGUGGAGCAUGUACAUGACUAACGCCCAACUUGCUGAUAAGACAAUGAAAAGAAUCCUUACCCAAAGGUUUGGUAAAAAUGUCAGCAAUUUGGUCAUGGGAUCGAAUAUGACAAGGUUGAACCAAUUUGGAUUGGAAACCCCUUAAUUAAGUUGAUUGGGAAUCCCUUAACUAUCUCUUAUAGUUCAACACACCAUAUGUGUUGGGUUUGUGAUUUGAAUAUUGUUGUUCACUUGUUUGUAUCUAGGAUAUGUGAUUCCUUAAAUAUCCUUAACAAACAUGAAAAUCUUGUGAGUUUGUAUAGAUUUUUAUUAUUGUUGUGGUACUAGGUAUUAUAGUCCCUAAUAAUGUUAUGGGUAUAAACCAAUGGUUCUAAUGAGUUUGCUUUUCAAUGUUCCUAUCUUCAUUACAUCAAGUAAAUGUUGGAUUGCUGAAAUUUCUAAUAGGUACUGAAUUUCUAGUUUGGUAUGAAAAAAUAAAUAAAAUGUACAAGAUGGGAUGUGCUCAAUAGGAAUUGGAAGCUCCAGUAAAAUUGUAGUGGAGAUGGUUUGGUGCUCAAUUUGGAAAGCAAAGGUCCCUAAUAAAGUUAAGAUGUUUGCAUGGAGAGCAUGUCAUAACAUUCUACCUGCAUGUGCCAAUCUACUGAACAGAAGGGUUCUAAUGUAGCCAUGAUGUCCAAGCUGCAAAUUAAAUGAGGAUGACAUGAUGCAUGAAUUAUGGAAUUGUGAAGAGAGAAUUUGGUGCUGCAGAAAAGAGGUAAUUAGAGCAUGAAUUCCUAGACUUUGUUAGAAUAUUUUGGCCUAUAUUGGAGAAGGCUGUGACAACACUGUGGAGCAAUCCCUGAUACUGUCCUGGAUGAUUUGGAAGGCAAGGAAUAAGUGGGUCUUUGAGCAGUCUACAAAACAGCCAAGUGUCAUAGCAGGUGAGGCUAUGGAAUUUUGGCAGGAAUUUCAAGCAAUCUGCAACUCAGGUAGUUCAACAACUCAAGCUGUAACAGGCUAGCGUAUUAAUCUGACACUGCAUUGGAAUCCUCCCUGUAAACCUAUGUACAAGGAAUAUUUUGAUGGUGCAGUUUUUGAGGAUUUACGUAGAACAGGAGAGGGAGUCAUAAUCCGGAAUGAACAAGGAUUGCUCAUUGCAGCAAUGAGCCGAAAAGGAAGACCAGUUAUGGAGAGCUUUGUGGUGGAACUUGAGGCUGCAGUCCAAACCAUUCGGUUUGCUCGUGAUGUUGGCAUACAGAGGGGACGAGUUUUAGUGGGGGAUUAUAUAUAGCAAAACUUCAGGAACACGAAAACUAUGAGUUUUGGUGGGCUAACGUUGUGAAGGAAGCUAAAUUUCAUCUGAAACGUUAACAUGUUCAACAAUGGGAAGUUAGUUUUACUAGAUACUCAUUUUGGCAAGAUGUGAACAUAAUAUUGAAGAUUAUGUAACUUGGAUAGAAGAGGUCCCAUUUUUUUUUUUUGAAUGGUUGAACAAUGAUGUACUGGGUUUGAAUGUUUCAACAUGCAACUUGAUUGGUUUUCCAAGGAAAAAAUGGAAGCAUAAAUGGAAGCAUAUCACAUUAAUUCUA
Molecule: RNA transcript, 6076 nt
Organism: Quercus robur (English oak)
Lineage: Eukaryota; Viridiplantae; Streptophyta; Magnoliopsida; Fagales; Fagaceae
Gene name: receptor-like protein Cf-9 homolog
Exons: 4
Source: RefSeq, a predicted model, not a curated record